UGUAAACAGAGAACACACUUCGGCACAAACCAUCCCGAGAGAGGCGGCAAACCCGCUGACCUCAAAUCAAAUCCCAACUCGUUCCUCGGCCCAUACCCCUGGAUUUCCAAAGCUCUUCCCACAUUUGGGCCGCCGGCUUACAAAAAGGGUGGGAGCUGGGGGCGGGGCGCGCUGGUCUCCAGCCCCGCCGCCCCCGGCUCGGCUCCGCGCCGCAUCUCCGCGCUCGGGGCGUUGGAGAAAACGCAGGGCACAGGGCUGAGGCGGGGCGAGGGGGCGCCUGAGCGUUCCAGGGUGGGGGCGGGGGGCGGCGCUUUCCAGAAGCCAGCCGAACCUCCAAACCUACAGGGGUUUCCCUCAAGAACCGGUCCACCCACGCCCCCUAUAGGACUAGCGUUACCCAACCUCUCAGUUACAAGAUCCUGAAGGGAAGUAAAAGUCAACAUAAGAAAAAGAGGAAAUGCCACACGAUCUUUCAUAUUGGGAAAAAUUAAUAAAUGAAGGAAAAAUUAAUGAGGGUGAGUAAUACAUGAAAAGAACUUCAAAAGAAAGUGAUUUAAUAAUCAAAAGGCCUCUUGAUGAUCCCCUUAAAUAUUUUUGGGUGAAAGUGCUAUGAAAGUCAAUUAUGAAGGAUGGAGUCCCAUCCUAUGCUGCAAAAAGCAAUACUUGAUUUAUUCUUUAUUUGUUCUAUGACUUGACGCUUAGCUGAAAUUAUAACCUAAAUUUUAUUUAAUAUAUGCUAAAGUUUUUAUAUUUUUUGAUUUCAUGUUUUAAGAAUAUUUCCCAAUUAAUCCUUUUCUUACC
RNAcentral lists this long non-coding RNA (801 nucleotides) under Dasypus novemcinctus (nine-banded armadillo). Its description in RNAcentral is "lncRNA (ENSDNOG00000050284.1)". Lineage: Eukaryota; Metazoa; Chordata; Mammalia; Cingulata; Dasypodidae. The record is from RNAcentral.